GUGGGUAACCUGCCCAAGAGAUCGGGAUAACACCUGGAAACAGAUGCUAAUACCGGAUAACAACAGAUGAUGCCUAUCAACUGUUUAAAAGAUGGUUCUGCUAUCACUCUUGGAUGGACCUGCGGUGCAUUAGCUAGUUGGUAGGGUAACGGCCUACCAAGGCGAUGAUGCAUAGCCGAGUUGAGAGACUUAUCGGCCACAUUGGGACUGAGACACGGCCCAAACUCCUACGGGAGGCAGCAGCU
Molecule: ribosomal RNA, 245 nt
Filed under: uncultured Lactobacillus sp.
Lineage: Bacteria; Bacillati; Bacillota; Bacilli; Lactobacillales; Lactobacillaceae
Description: partial 16S ribosomal RNA
Rfam family: Bacterial small subunit ribosomal RNA
Source: RNAcentral